UGAACCUGCGGAAGGAUCAUUAUCGAGUGUGCACCCCGCGUGUAUACCACUGUGAACCGACUGACCUAACUUUUGUGUUUUUUUUCUCAAACUUGUCGUCUGAAUGUGAUUCCAGAAAAACAAAUAUACAACUUUUAACGGUGGAUCUCUAGGCUCGUGCAUCGAUGAAGAACGCAGCCAGGUGCGAUAAGUAGUGUGAAUUGCAGAAUUCAGUGAAUCAUCGAAUCUUUGAACGCAAAUGGCGCUCUUGGGUUCUCCCGGGAGCAUGUCUGUUUGAGCGUCGGGUUCCAACCCAUCGCAACGGAGUUCUUGCUCGCAGUUGCGGCGUUGAGACGUCGCGUCGCCCGUUCGACGCGUCUCUUGAAAUGCAGAGGGAUCGAAUCGCACAGGGUCUUGUGCGAGGCGAAAAUAAGUCUAUUUUCCAACCUCGUUGAUCUGCCGUGCAGUACGUUCGAUUCGAGUAGACACUUACACUUUCUUGACCUCAAAUCAGGCAAGAGUACCCGCUGAAUUUAAGCAUAUUAAUAAGCGGAGGAA
This 537-nucleotide ribosomal RNA is filed under the name Pachycerianthus magnus. RNAcentral describes it as "eukaryotic LSU rRNA". The stretch from base 130 to 283 matches the Rfam family "5.8S ribosomal RNA". Lineage: Eukaryota; Metazoa; Cnidaria; Anthozoa; Spirularia; Cerianthidae. The record is from RNAcentral.